CCUACGGGAGGCAGCAGUGAGGAAUAUUGGUCAAUGGGCGCGAGCCUGAACCAGCCAAGUCGCGUGAGGGAAGACGGUCCUAUGGAUUGUAAACUUCUUUUGUCGGGGAGCAAAAGACGCCACGCGUGGCGUUCCGAGAGUACCCGAAGAAAAAGCAUCGGCUAACUCCGUGCCAGCAGCCGCGGUAAUACGGAGGAUGCGAGCGUUAUCCGGAUUUAUUGGGUUUAAAGGGUGCGCAGGCGGAAGAUCAAGUCAGCGGGAAAAUUGAGAGGCUCAACCUCUUCGAGCCGUUGAAACUGGUUUUCUUGAGUGGGCGAGAAGUAUGCGGAAUGCGUGGUGUAGCGGUGAAAUGCAUAGAUAUCACGCAGAACUCCGAUUGCGAAGGCAGCAUACCGGCGCUCAACUGACGCUCAUGCACGAAAGUGUGGGUAUCGAACAGGAUUAGAUACCCUUGUAGUC
RNAcentral lists this ribosomal RNA (459 nucleotides) under uncultured bacterium. RNAcentral describes it as "partial 16S ribosomal RNA". It matches the Rfam family "Bacterial small subunit ribosomal RNA", at positions 338 to 795 of the family's 1533-position model. The record is from RNAcentral.